GACGAACGCUGGCGGCGUGCCUAACACAUGCAAGUCGAGCGAGUGAAUCUCCUUCGGGAGUGAAGCUAGCGGCGGACGGGUGAGUAACACGUGGGCAACCUGCCUCAUAGAGGGGAAUAGCCUUCCGAAAGGAAGAUUAAUACCGCAUAAGAUUGCAGCUUCGCAUGAAGUAGCAAUUAAAGGAGCAAUCCGCUAUGAGAUGGGCCCGCGGCGCAUUAGCUAGUUGGUGAGGUAACGGCUCACCAAGGCGACGAUGCGUAGCCGACCUGAGAGGGUGAUCGGCCACAUUGGGACUGAGACACGGCCCAGACUCCUACGGGAGGCAGCAGUGGGGAAUAUUGCACAAUGGGGAAACCCUGAUGCAGCAACGCCGCGUGAGUGAUGACGGCCUUCGGGUUGUAAAGCUCUGUCUUCAGGGACGAUAAUGACGGUACCUGAGGAGGAAGCCACGGCUAACUACGUGCCAGCCGCCGCGGUAA
This 479-nucleotide ribosomal RNA is filed under the name uncultured bacterium. Its description in RNAcentral is "partial 16S ribosomal RNA". It matches the Rfam family "Bacterial small subunit ribosomal RNA", at positions 28 to 523 of the family's 1533-position model. The record is from RNAcentral.